GGUUAAGCGACUAAGCGUACACGGUGGAUGCCCUGGCAGUCAGAGGCGAUGAAGGACGUGCUAAUCUGCGAAAAGCGUCGGUAAGGUGAUAUGAACCGUUAUAACCGGCGAUGUCCGAAUGGGGAAACCCAGUGUGAUUCGUCACACUAUCGUUAACUGAAUACAUAGGUUAACGAGGCGAACCGGGGGAACUGAAACAUCUAAGUACCCCGAGGAAAAGAAAUCAACCGAGAUUCCCCCAGUAGCGGCGAGCGAACGGGGAGCAGCCCAGAGUCUGAAUCAGCUUGUGUGUUAGUGGAACGGUCUGGAAAGUCCGACGGUACAGGGUGAUAGUCCCGUACACCAAAAUGCACAGGCUGUGAACUCGAAGAGUAGGGCGGGACACGUGGUAUCCUGUCUGAAUAUGGGGGGACCAUCCUCCAAGGCUAAAUACUCCUGACUGACCGAUAGUGAACCAGUACCGUGAGGGAAAGGCGAAAAGAACCCCGGCGAGGGGAGUGAAAAAGAACCUGAAACCGUGUACGUACAAGCAGUGGGAGCACCUUCGGGUGUGACUGCGUACCUUUUGUAUAAUGGGUCAGCGACUUAUAUUCUGUAGCAAGGUUAACCGUAUAGGGGAGCCGCAGGGAAACCGAGUCUUAACUGGGCGUUAAGUUGCAGGGUAUAGACCCGAAACCCGGUGAUCUAGCCAUGGGCAGGUUGAAGGUUGGGUAACACUAACUGGAGGACCGAACCGACUAAUGUUGAAAAAUUAGCGGAUGACUUGUGGCUGGGGGUGAAAGGCCAAUCAAACCGGGAGAUAGCUGGUUCUCCCCGAAAGCUAUUUAGGUAGCGCCUCGUGAAUUCAUCUUCGGGGGUAGAGCACUGUUUCGGCUAGGGGGUCAUCCCGACUUACCAACCCGAUGCAAACUACGAAUACCGAAGAAUGUUAUCACGGGAGACACACGGCGGGUGCUAACGUCCGUCGUGAAGAGGGAAACAACCCAGACCGCCAGCUAAGGUCCCAAAGUCAUGGUUAAGUGGGAAACGAUGUGGGAAGGCACAGACAGCCAGGAUGUUGGCUUAGAAGCAGCCAUCAUUUAAAGAAAGCGUAAUAGCUCACUGGUCGAGUCGGCCUGCGCGGAAGAUGUAACGGGGCUAAACCAUGCACCGAAGCUGCGGCAGCGACACUAUGUGUUGUUGGGUAGGGGAGCGUUCUGUAAGCCUGCGAAGGUGACCUGUGAGGGUUGCUGGAGGUAUCAGAAGUGCGAAUGCUGACAUAAGUAACGAUAAAGCGGGUGAAAAGCCCGCUCGCCGGAAGACCAAGGGUUCCUGUCCAACGUUAAUCGGGGCAGGGUGAGUCGACCCCUAAGGCGAGGCCGAAAGGCGUAGUCGAUGGGAAACAGGUUAAUAUUCCUGUACUUGGUGUUACUGCGAAGGGGGGACGGAGAAGGCUAUGUUAGCCGGGCGACGGUUGUCCCGGUUUAAGCAUGUAGGCUGGUUGUCCAGGCAAAUCCGGAUAAUCAAGGCUGAGGUGUGAUGACGAGGCACUACGGUGCUGAAGUAACAAAUGCCCUGCUUCCAGGAAAAGCCUCUAAGCAUCAGGUAACAUCAAAUCGUACCCCAAACCGACACAGGUGGUCAGGUAGAGAAUACCAAGGCGCUUGAGAGAACUCGGGUGAAGGAACUAGGCAAAAUGGUGCCGUAACUUCGGGAGAAGGCACGCUGGUGUGUAGGUGAAGUCCCUGCGGAUGGAGCUGAGACCAGUCGAAGAUACCAGCUGGCUGCAACUGUUUAUUAAAAACACAGCACUGUGCAAACACGAAAGUGGACGUAUACGGUGUGACGCCUGCCCGGUGCCGGAAGGUUAAUUGAUGGGGUUAUCCGUAAGGAGAAGCUCUUGAUCGAAGCCCCGGUAAACGGCGGCCGUAACUAUAACGGUCCUAAGGUAGCGAAAUUCCUUGUCGGGUAAGUUCCGACCUGCACGAAUGGCGUAAUGAUGGCCAGGCUGUCUCCACCCGAGACUCAGUGAAAUUGAACUCGCUGUGAAGAUGCAGUGUACCCGCGGCAAGACGGAAAGACCCCGUGAACCUUUACUAUAGCUUGACACUGAACAUUGAGCCUUGAUGUGUAGGAUAGGUGGGAGGCUUUGAAGCGUGGACGCCAGUCUGCGUGGAGCCAACCUUGAAAUACCACCCUUUAAUGUUUGAUGUUCUAACGUUGGCCCCUGACCGGGGUUGCGGACAGUGUCUGGUGGGUAGUUUGACUGGGGCGGUCUCCUCCCAAAGCGUAACGGAGGAGCACGAAGGUUAGCUAAUCCUGGUCGGACAUCAGGAGGUUAGUGCAAUGGCAUAAGCUAGCUUGACUGCGAGCGUGACGGCGCGAGCAGGUGCGAAAGCAGGUCAUAGUGAUCCGGUGGUUCUGAAUGGAAGGGCCAUCGCUCAACGGAUAAAAGGUACUCCGGGGAUAACAGGCUGAUACCGCCCAAGAGUUCAUAUCGACGGCGGUGUUUGGCACCUCGAUGUCGGCUCAUCACAUCCUGGGGCUGAAGUAGGUCCCAAGGGUAUGGCUGUUCGCCAUUUAAAGUGGUACGCGAGCUGGGUUUAGAACGUCGUGAGACAGUUCGGUCCCUAUCUGCCGUGGGCGCUGGAGAAUUGAGGGGGGCUGCUCCUAGUACGAGAGGACCGGAGUGGACGCAUCACUGGUGUUCGGGUUGUCAUGCCAAUGGCACUGCCCGGUAGCUAAAUGCGGAAGAGAUAAGUGCUGAAAGCAUCUAAGCACGAAACUUGCCCCGAGAUGAGUUCUCCCUGAGACUUUAAGUCUCCUGAAGGAACGUUAAAGACGAUGACGUUGAUAGGCCGGGUGUGUAAGCGCAGCGAUGCGUUGAGCUAACCGGUACUAAUGAACCGUGAGGCUUAACCUU
RNAcentral lists this ribosomal RNA (2902 nucleotides) under Klebsiella pneumoniae. RNAcentral describes it as "23S ribosomal RNA". It matches the Rfam family "Bacterial large subunit ribosomal RNA". Lineage: Bacteria; Pseudomonadati; Pseudomonadota; Gammaproteobacteria; Enterobacterales; Enterobacteriaceae. The record is from RNAcentral.